RNAcentral lists this transfer RNA (73 nucleotides) under Trichonephila inaurata madagascariensis. RNAcentral's name for it is "tRNA-Ala". It matches the Rfam family "tRNA". Rfam says of the family: Transfer RNA (tRNA) molecules are approximately 80 nucleotides in length. Their secondary structure includes four short double-helical elements and three loops (D, anti-codon, and T loops). The record is from RNAcentral. Lineage: Eukaryota; Metazoa; Arthropoda; Arachnida; Araneae; Nephilidae.
GAGAGCGUAGCUCAGAUGGUAGAGCGCCCGCUUAGCCUGCGAGAGGUACGGGGAUAGAUACCCCGCGCCUCCA